UUCACAGAAUUUAAAUUGGCAUUAGGAAUAGAUUUCCUUGAUUUAGUAAUAAUAUUGCUCAUAGAAAUUGAUAAUGUGAAGAAUAACAAUACAGGAACAUAGAAUAACAAGAAAGAAAUUCUAGCAGCAAGUUAGGUUAUGAGAUAAAUUUUAUUUAUAUAGUUUGUUUAAAGAGUUUAGUUUGAAAAAAAGUUAAAACAAUUAUUAUUGUCCAGGUCAUAUUUGAUAACUGUUGUUAAUUGAUAAUUGUACGAUGUACAAUGCAGGCAAUAUUUCUGCCUCCUAACGCACUAUUCGCUUAAAAGAAGAUGUGGGUAUUGUAUUUAUACCUAGAACAGAUUUAUUAUUAGUUGGCUAGUGUGUUAGUAGGAUAGCCAUUGGUAGUUAUAAAGUAUGAAGUCGUCAGGUAUUAAUAAUAGGAAUUGAU
Long non-coding RNA from Sitophilus oryzae (rice weevil), 427 nucleotides. RefSeq lists it as uncharacterized. NCBI's taxonomy places the organism in Eukaryota, Metazoa, Arthropoda, Insecta, Coleoptera, Curculionidae. The transcript is spliced from 2 exons. The record is from RefSeq and is a predicted model, not a curated record.